AAUUGAACUAUAGCAUAAAGUGGAUGCCUUGACUUGAAUGUCUGAAGAAGGACGUAUAAAUCUGCGAUAAGCCUGGAAGAGUUGAUAAAAAGCGUUAUUAUUCCAGGAUUUCCGAAUGGGGGAACCUAAUAUAAGUAAUUUAUAUUAUCUGUAAUACAGAGAGACACAUUGUGAACUGAAAUAUCUAAGUAGCAAUGGAAAAGAAAUCAAACGAGAUUCCCUGAGUAGUGACGAGCGAAACGGGAAGAGCCCAAACUGUAAAUACUGUAUAAGUAGUUUUUGGUAUUACGGGGUUGUAGGAAUAACAUUAGGGGAGACUAAUAAACCUAAUAUUUUUUAGAAUUAUUAAAAGAACAAGCUGGGAAGUUUGGCCAUAGAGGGUUAAAGCCCCGUAUUUUAAAAUAAUUUUAUCAAAUAUCUGUUAUUUCCUGAGUAGGUUCGGACACGUGAAAUCCGGAUUGAAUUUGGGGGGACCACCCUCCAAGGCUAAAUAUCAUUCAAGAUCGAUAGUGAACUAGUACCAUGAGGGAAAGGUGAAAAGAACCCCGGGAGGGGAGUGAAAUAGAACCUGAAACUUUAUGCUUUUAAAGAGUGGGAGCCUUCGGGUGACCACGUGCUUUUUGUAGAACGAACCAACGAGUUAGUGUGUAUGGCAAGGUUAAGACAGUUAA
This 671-nucleotide ribosomal RNA is filed under the name Candidatus Scalindua sp. RNAcentral describes it as "partial 23S ribosomal RNA". It matches the Rfam family "Bacterial large subunit ribosomal RNA", at positions 1 to 658 of the family's 2925-position model. Lineage: Bacteria; Pseudomonadati; Planctomycetota; Candidatus Brocadiia; Candidatus Brocadiales; Candidatus Scalinduaceae. The record is from RNAcentral.